RNAcentral lists this ribosomal RNA (850 nucleotides) under uncultured archaeon. RNAcentral describes it as "bacterial SSU rRNA". It matches the Rfam family "Archaeal small subunit ribosomal RNA", at positions 18 to 873 of the family's 1478-position model. The record is from RNAcentral.
CGGAGGCUACCGCUAUUGGAGUUCGAUUAAGCCAUGCGAGUCGAGAGUCCUCGGGACUCGGCGUACCGCUCAGUAACACGUGGGUAACCUGCCCUAUGCUGGGGAAUAACCUCGGGAAACUGAGAAUAAUGCCCCAUAGCCCACUACGCCUGGAACGGUGAGUGGGUCAAAGCCCCGGCGGCAUAGGAUGGGCCUGCGCCGUAUCAGGUUGUAGGGGGUGUAAAGUACCCUCUAGCCAUCAACGCGUACGGGUGUUGGGAGACAUUGCCCGGAGAUGGAUUCUGAGACACGAAUCCAGACCCUACGGGGUGCAGCAGGCGCGAAAACUUGGCAAUGCGAGAAAUCGUGACCAGGGAACUCCAAGUGCGUAGGGUAAGACCUACGCUUUUCUUGACUCUUCAAAGGUCUCGGAAUAAGGGGUGGGUAAGGACGGUGCCAGCCGCCGCGGUAAUACCGGCGCCUCAAGUGGUAGUCGCUUUUAUUGGGCCUAAAACGUCCGUAGCCGGUCUGGUGCAUUCGUGGGUAAAUCAACCCGCUCAACGGGUUGAAUUCUGCGAGCACGGCCAGACUUGGGACCGGGAGAGGUGUGGGGUACUCUCAGGGUAGGGGUAAAAUCCUGUCAUCCUGAGAGGACCACCUGUUGCGAAGGCGCCACACUAGAACGGAUCCGACGGUCAGGGACGAAACCUAGGGGCACGAACCGGAUUAGAUACCCGGGUAGUCCUAGGUGUAAACGCUGUGGACUUGAUGUUGGGGGCGCUCCGAGCGCUCUCAGUGUCGAAGCGAAGGUGAUAAGUCCACUGCCUGGGGAGUACGGUCGCAAGGCUGAAACUUAAAGGAAUUGGCGGGG